UCUGAAUAAUUCCAUUGUUCCUUGUAUGGCAAUUCCCUUAUCAGUUUUCGACCUAUAUAACGGCCCUGUAUCCCUCAUGAUAUUCAUAAGUUCAUCGACAGCCACUGCGUAAACAAGUGCUUCCAGAUCAAGACUGUGACCAAGCUCCUCCAAAGCAAAGACCCGAACAUCAACGUCCGCUCUCUGCUCUGCUGAAUCGUGACUCCUGAAUAAGACUCUACAAGAUGCAAAAUCUCAUGCUGCUCUGUAUGGCUAUGUUCCUGGCGGCGGAUGCGUGGCCAGAACCCGGGACGAAGUUGCCCUGCAAUCCAAGACAAUACACCGAUCCCACGAGGUCCUGCUCAAAAGAGGAACCACCGGAAGCACACCAAAAGGUUGUCAAGAUUCCAGGCAUCCUGUCGACCCGAAUAGGAUUCCUUGACGGCCCAGAUCUGAAUCAACGUUGGCCCUUUGAAUAUAGAGUUGUUGUGCCUGACCGUGCUUAAGAUUUUUGUUAUGU
Bacillus rossius redtenbacheri is the source of this 499-nucleotide long non-coding RNA. RefSeq lists it as uncharacterized. The transcript has 3 exons. NCBI's taxonomy places the organism in Eukaryota, Metazoa, Arthropoda, Insecta, Phasmatodea, Bacillidae. The record is from RefSeq and is a predicted model, not a curated record.